This 299-nucleotide small nuclear RNA is filed under the name Ochotona princeps (American pika). RNAcentral's name for it is "7SK RNA (ENSOPRG00000021178.1)". It matches the Rfam family "7SK RNA". Rfam says of the family: 7SK was discovered as an abundant small nuclear RNA in the mid-70s but a possible function has only recently been suggested. Two independent studies have found that 7SK RNA binds the CDK9/cyclin T complex (known as elongation factor P-TEFb). The record is from RNAcentral. Lineage: Eukaryota; Metazoa; Chordata; Mammalia; Lagomorpha; Ochotonidae.
AGAUGUGAGGAUGAUUUGGCUACGACAUCUGUCACCCCAUUGAUCGCCAGGGGUUGAUCUGGCUGAUCUGGCUGGAUAGCCGAGUGGCCCCUUCUUCCCUCGCCGCUCCAGGUGCCUCCAGAUGCUGCACACUUGGUAAAGAGGACAACCAUCCCCACUACAGGAGGACUGAUCCUUGGGCAGGGUAUACAGGGCAGUUGUAUUCCCAAAGAAGAACCACUGUUUGUGAUGAAUCAGAAAUAAAUAUAACCAGGAAAUAAAAUCAAACCUAAGUGUGCAGCUAAAUUAAUGGAUUGCAU